Cyprinodon variegatus (sheepshead minnow) is the source of this 1370-nucleotide long non-coding RNA. RefSeq lists it as uncharacterized. The record is from RefSeq and is a predicted model, not a curated record. The transcript has 2 exons. Lineage: Eukaryota; Metazoa; Chordata; Actinopteri; Cyprinodontiformes; Cyprinodontidae.
UAUUUAUAUGGAGAUGUGGGGCUAUAAAUAGGAGGGAUGAAGCCAGUGGAGAUCAGAUUCUCUCUACAGAGACCUUAACAUGACUGAGACUCAACCAUGGCUCCUUCAAUAACUUCAGCAAUGACCAACCCUCAGAAGCAUCUGACUCUGAACCACAAGCUCAGAAAGCCUCUGGUGGAGAAACUACACUGAGAGAAUUGACAGCUCCAUUGGCAGAUCAAGGCUCUCCUUGGUCCAGAGCUCCUAAAACAGCAGCCAGACCCUGAGAUGGAGAAAGCAGACAUCCUAGAGAUGAUAGUUUGCUUCCUCACACAGAGGAUGGAACAGAACCAGCAGCAGAGAAGAAACUCUACAUGUUGAGGCUGGUUUUGAUGAAAAACUAACAUUGUUCUGAACUCCACCAUCCAGACCAUCAAAGAUGAGGAGGAAGAUCCUAAAAUUCUGUGGAGACCUUGGUAGAAACCUUCUGACUGAAGUUUCUUUUGGAUGUAUGAGGAGAUAACUUCAGUCAAAGAUGACUGGUGUGAGAGAUGUUGAGGACUUUUCAUUCUGUUUGAACUGAGCUUCUAUGAUGUGUCUGUUUUCUUGUUUGUCUACAUUUCCAGUGGAAAUGGCAGCAUAUUCUUUUAUGUUAAGAUAGAAAAUAAUUUUAUGCAUAUUGCAUAAAGCUUCAUUGAUUGAUUUACAACUUUUUUUUAACUAUAAUAAUGCAGAUAUAUCAGUAGAAAGACCAUAUUGGUUAAAGAAUUACUGAGCUACUUGUUCAAAUUUAAAAGAACGGGAUCUUCUGUUUGUAAAGAAGAAUUGCUUCUGGAUAUGAAGCGUCUUUAUUACUUUGCUUUAUAAGCAAGAGAUAUAUAUUUUCUUUAUGAAAUGACAUAAGCAGUUUGAUGCAUGUUGCAUGAAUCAAUUUAUUUCCUUUUUUUGCUAUGUAAAUGUUAUAGUGCAUGACUGCACUUUCAGCUAAGGCAUUUUUCUGCUAUAUUUUACGUUCGAUUUAUCGCUGUUAUGGGAAAUGUAUAGUUCUUCGGAUGAACCAGUGUUAUUAAUGGACUUUUAAUCUAUUGGAUUAUUUUGAUUUGGUCUUAUUUUAAGAUCUCACUGUUGAUACAUUAACUUUUAAUGGCUAUCUGAUAAGCUAAUUUUAAUAACUGUUUAAUGUGGGGUGAUCCAGAGGUAACUUUGAUUGUUUUAGAUCAGAUGAUAUAGACGUUCUUUUGCUGAACAAUUUGUCAUCAUCAGCUAUUGGGACCACAGACCUAUAAUAUAUUCUAUCAUUAAUAGAUCUGUUAAUCUGUUUUUCAUGUUAAAAAAGUUUGUGUUGAUAAUAUUCCACUCAUCAAAUCACUAACAUCAAUUUUGUGCUUGUU